This 262-nucleotide ribosomal RNA is filed under the name uncultured bacterium. RNAcentral's name for it is "partial 16S ribosomal RNA". It matches the Rfam family "Bacterial small subunit ribosomal RNA", at positions 92 to 354 of the family's 1533-position model. The record is from RNAcentral.
UUAGUGGCGGACGGGUGAGUAACGCGUGGGUAACCUGCCUUACACAGGGGGAUAACACUUAGAAAUAGGUGCUAAAACCGCAUAAGCGCACAGCUUCGCGUGAAGCGGUGUGAAAAACUCCGGUGGUGUAAGAUGGACCCGCGUCUGAUUAGCUUGUUGGCGGGGUAACGGCCCACCAAGGCGACGAUCAGUAGCCGGCCUGAGAGGGCGGACGGCCACAUUGGGACUGAGACACGGCCCAGACUCCUACGGAAGGCAGCAG